CACUGCCUGACAGGUAGCAGUGCUCGUCCACCUUCCUUUUGCUUUUGAUUUGUGGCCCUGCAGCCAUCAGGGCCUCUUUGGUGGAGGUGAAGGCAUCCUUCGGCUUUAUUUGCUCGGGUUCUUCCUUUAUUUUCUUGCCGCCAGCCUUGGCAGCAGAAGCAGCGCGUCUCUUUGAUGCCAUGAUGACGCUGUGGAGCACACCAAAGAUGCCAUGUUUGUUGCGACCAACGGCUGUAAUGUCUGGACAUGCUCAGACAUCACUUCUGCUACAUUCUCAGGCACAUUAAUAACGUGCUUGUUGCUGGGUGGGUGUGUUGCACCCAACACGUGCAGGGGUGUGUCUGAGCGCGCUGUCAGCGGAGGUUCCGGCAGCUCCAGUUGCCAAGGAGAUGCGAGUAGAACUCCGCGUCGUGACACUAACCCCUGUUCCACCGUGCUGCCAGCUAGCUAGCUGCUAAGCUAACGAGGCUAGCGGAGAAAGGCAGCACCGGUCUGAAGGAAGCUACUCCCCCGCCACCGUGACCACCACUUCCCGAAGACAGCUGGCACUCCACUCGGCGACGGAAAGUUUCUCAACCAGGAGGAGACGGGGUUGGAGCUGGAGGGGAGCUGGGGUGAGAGCGAGAGCGUGACGGACACGGACAAAAAAAGACAAUUGCUGCAAAGCAUCCCACUGAACUGAGAUGAAAUAAAAUUAUAAUCUAAUCUGGGUUCUCAUGAUGGUGAUUGGUAAUCCAAAGAACCCCUUGGUGGGCAUCCUCCACAAUGUUAUUGUGUAUAGUCUUUUCCAAAAUAACACACACUGCAAAUCAUCAACAAUAUUUACUUGGCAGGUCAUCUUUCUUUCAGGUCACAUUAACAGAAAGUUGUGUUGACUAACGACUUAUUGUACUGAUUGCAUGUUGCUUCAUGAUGCCAAAUGUAUCAAUUAUUGUGUCUAAAUUAAUACAACUACGCUCAUAUAUCUGCAGUUACCUACACUCAGAAUAACAAAAGUAUAUGUAACGUGUUAAUACGACCUUCUCUGUAAUGUUAACAUCUUGCUUUGACCGUCUCUUCUUCAGCUACCACUCAAUUAACAAACUUUAACUUCACAUUUAAAUAGUUCUGGAAAAUAAACAUCAAAAUGCAUCAAUGUCAAACGGAAUGUAUGUUAAGUAACCUACAUUUGUCACGUGUCAAGUCAAGGUCACAAAUAUAAACACCCCAGCCACACAGCUUUUGCUGGUCAAAUUGACAUCAACCCUGCAGCAAUUUUAAAUUAGGAAGAAUAAAAAUGUUAACUAUUUUACCUGCAGGGUUCAAACUAAUGCUUCUAAUGCUGCCAUCUUUGUCAUGUUUUGUGGUCAUGUUCUGUUUAGUUUUGGACUCAUUGUGCACUCUUGUUUGAUUUUGUUACCAUGACAACUCAUUACUUUUCACCUGUCAUGUCACGCACCUGAUUCACUUGGACUCAUGCACCUGUUAAUCACCACAGCACUAUUUAAGCCUGCAGUUGCCAGGCAGUCUGCCUGGCGACAUCACUUUCUACUCACCUUUGCUAUCUAUGCCGAUGAUCCAUGCACUUUCUCAGUCCAAGUACGUUUUUCUUGCCAUAGUUUUGUAAUUUUUGUUUUAUGUUCAUAGUCUUGCCUUAGUGCAAGUUUUUGUUUUCAUAGCCAAGUUUUUGUACCUCCUCUGACAGCCCUUUUUGUUUAUACCCUUUGUUUUUGCAAUACCUUUUGAGUGUUAGGAUUAAAGGAUGCCCUUACCUUAACAUUGUGUCUGAUCCAAUCGCUUUGCACCACGGGAAAACACACCACACCAUAGUCCAAGUCAUGACAAACCAGGCUUCAACUAUAAAACAAAACUUAAGAAAUACUAAUGUUGAAGCUGAAUUACUACAUCAAUUAGCUUAAAGUCUACUAGCUUACACAUUACUGUAACUGCAAGCUGAAGCCUUUAGUGUCGUGUGAAAACAUUUUUUCUGUUGAUGAAGUCAUGAACUGUUGUAAAUAAAAAUAGGCAGAAAUUGUACUCACCACACAUUAAAAUGAAGAAACGUUGCUGCAAAA
Molecule: long non-coding RNA, 2054 nt
Organism: Nerophis ophidion (straightnose pipefish)
Lineage: Eukaryota; Metazoa; Chordata; Actinopteri; Syngnathiformes; Syngnathidae
Exons: 4
Source: RefSeq, a predicted model, not a curated record